This is a long non-coding RNA of Gallus gallus (chicken), 2512 nucleotides long. NCBI's taxonomy places the organism in Eukaryota, Metazoa, Chordata, Aves, Galliformes, Phasianidae. The record is from Ensembl.
AUUGCAUUUUUGAUCAGACACAGUACUGGCUGAAGGCUGAUGGAAGUGGGUCUUGGGGCACUGUCAGAAAACACACUGGGGAAGAGUCUCGCAUUCUCAAUGAGAUACCUGUUGGAGUGGGCACUCCUAUGUUGACCCAUUUGGGAGCUGAACAAAAGGAAUGUGAAGGCUUGGCCAAGAUAAAUGCAUUGAGGAUGUUGGAAAUUAAGAAAACAACUGCCCAGCUGGCAGAGGAUGAAGGUCAGCCCUAUUGGAAGAGGCCAGCUGGUGGCUCCUUGUCUGCUGCAUGGUGGUGAUGAGGGUGAUGAGCUGUGGGCUCAGCACUGCCAGAGAAAUGUAGUGGAAGCUCUUCAUGCAUGCUGUCUGCACACAUACACACAUCAUGCAACGUACAAACUACUCACUAAUUAAAUCAUAGGGGCAAUGAUGUCCUCCUCCUGUUUUGAGGACUGUAAGGGUCUGGUGACAGCCUAGAGGUACCAGGAGAUAAUAAGCCUGCCUCGUAAUUUCUGACCAUCUAUCCCUAGCUGAUUCAGGUCAUUAGAGUUAUUUUGCAACACUCUCUUAAUAACCUGCAAACGCUCUCCUCCAGUGCUGAAAUCAUACACAAAAGGCCAAGGUUUAGGGAGAUGAAGACAACGCUGAUAAUGAGUCCCUGAUUGAUUAAAAGUAAAUACAUUUUUAUUCAGAGAAAAGGGCAUUUGUUACCACAAACAUUUCACCUUCAGCACAAAUAGGAGUUACACUUACAUUUACUAAGGGAUUAUAGCAGCACUACGACUAAUUACUUCCCAGCAGCUGUUGGCCUCAGGUUAGAUGUAAGCUACUUCUGGCAAUAUGUGGUGUGGGUUCAUGUAAAAGGAGGCCAGUAUUUUCAUUGUCUUGGUGGAAAACAGUGCAACGGUGAGAUGUGAGUGAAAAUACUAUGCAUAAUGCAAUAUGAAAUAAGAGCUUAUUACAAGGAGAAGGCUCAAGGAGAUCAAACAACAUUAGUCCAUCCCACCAUUUUAUGUUAUGAGGGAGAUAUUAAUAAUUCUGUUUGUAUUUUGUAGAUGGCCUCAAGUUGUACAAUUAUCACAUAGGAAGGUGCACAUUACUUACUGGAGAUAGCUUCAGACUCCUUGAUUACCUUGAGUUGCAUGAAGUCGAUUGUAUGUUCCUGAUAUGACCUAUGACCUAUGCAAAUUGUAGGACACUUACAGUCAGUAGAAUGUUAUUUGUCCUUCAGUUAUUUGCCAGACAUUAGGUGUAAGAUAUUACUCUUUUCUUGAAUCCCAAAUAGUCACACCUUUGCUAUUCUUAAGUGAUGCUCCGAACUCUCUGCUCUUCCAUUCAGUGGUAUAUAAUUUUUGCUAAGCCGCUGGCAAGUGAUAAGAUUACUUUAAAAUAUCUAUUAGGAUUCAGAGAAGGAGGUUUCUACAGGUGUAGGCAAUGAGCAGCCCUGAAAUUAUUGAGUUAUUCAUAACUUAGAGCAGUUACAAAUUACUGCUAUUAACUGAAUACUGUAAUUACAGCCAGAAGCUAGGUCUUGUAGCAUAAUUUCUGGUGUGGAUAGUUUUUAGUGCAUGUCUUGGGGAGCAGAAAUUUAGAGCAUACAGAGAAAGAGCUGUUUUGAUCCUGUAAAAGCAUUUGGUCUGCUCUAGGUCACAAACAAUAGAAACUUUCACUUUGGAUGAGCAAAGAAGUCCUGCUCUGCUUAAAAUAGUGAAGGAAUGGUACCAAUGAAUGCUGUCACUGGCUGGACUAUUUUUCACAACGACACGAGGAAGAUCCUCUGUAAAGGUCUUUCAUCAAAAAAUGUACUUUGACAAUUGGCCUGUCACAUCAUGAAAUUGCUGAUUGACUCUAGAAAAUCCCUUUGAAAUAAACCUGGGAGAGACUGGUCUCAGAUAUUGUAUCACAGAGCAAGCAGAGACUCCAGCAAUACCUCAGCACAAGCCAUCCAUAGGCCUAUGUUGUCAACAUAUAGAAGUACAGACUGACUGCUCCUUUCACCUGUGGCAUCACCAGGUCCCCCUCUGUACAAUGUGUUUUGAUGUGUCUUGAGUAUAGGAAGUGCUUAAGAAAAACAACAGUACUUUAAUUGCAAACAACUACCAAACCAGAUACUCAGGUUGUUGAAUUUAUUUAUAUGAUUCUGCACAGUGGAUGUCAGCAAGCAUUGAAAAGUAUCUUCCAUGGCUGUGCACAGUGGCUGGGCAUGAAAUUGGGGUUCAUUUUAGUGCUUCAUAGGUGCAGAAAGAAUGCUAGCUGUCAUACUCCAUUGCUCCCUGUACCUUGAGAAGAGAGCUUUCUGGAGGAUAUUUAAACCUGAGAUAUUCCUUUCACACAGUCAGCGAGAGGCAAACAGCACUACAUCCAGUCCAAGCAGAAUGCAACAGAGUGAUUUAGAUUUCAUGCCAUGUAUUUUUGACCUUUCUGUUGGAAGAAUAACACCGAGCUUGUUUAAGAGUAAAAGAUUGAUGUAUGUCUUGUUCUGAAAGCAAUGUUAUAAAAAUUGUACCUUCUUACU